ACAGGAAGAGGAAGCUCUGCAUAUGACCCUGGUGUGACUGAGAGAUAGUUGUCAGUCAGCAUUUAGUGUCAGUCAUGGAGGUCACAGCUCUCUGUAUCCAAAUCUUGAUGAUUGAGUUUCUCUUGGUGUCAACAUUACCCGGUCAGCGUUGCACUUCUCAGAAGCCCGAUUUUCCAAUUAUCUCUCCUAACAAACUUCAGUUCUUUGAGUACGAGUCUUUCUUCAUAAGCUGUGGGGGGAACGAAGACAUGAAUGUAUGGAAAGUGGUGAGAAAACUGCAAGAAAUGAGUUCCACAAAUAAAUCAGAGGACUGCAGCAUGCCAGCUCCAUCCUGCAGAAUUGAUUAUACCUUUGAAAGA
Molecule: long non-coding RNA, 359 nt
Organism: Fundulus heteroclitus (mummichog)
Lineage: Eukaryota; Metazoa; Chordata; Actinopteri; Cyprinodontiformes; Fundulidae
Exons: 3
Source: RefSeq, a predicted model, not a curated record